CAGUAGCCGCGGUAAAACGAAGGGUGCAAGCGUUACUCGGAAUUACUGGGCGUAAAGCGUGCGUAGGUGGUGGUUUAAGUCCGUUGUGAAAGCCCUGGGCUCAACCUGGGAAUUGCAGUGGAUACUGGGUCACUAGAGUGUGGUAGAGGAUAGUGGAAUUUCCGGUGUAGCAGUGAAAUGCGUAGAGAUCGGAAGGAACAUCUGUGGCGAAGGCGACUAUCUGGGCCAACACUGACACUGAGGCACGAAAGCGUGGGGAGCAAACAGGAUUAGAGACCCCCGUAGUCCCUGUCUCUUAUAC
RNAcentral lists this ribosomal RNA (301 nucleotides) under uncultured bacterium. RNAcentral's name for it is "partial 16S ribosomal RNA". It matches the Rfam family "Bacterial small subunit ribosomal RNA", at positions 509 to 807 of the family's 1533-position model. The record is from RNAcentral.